This 440-nucleotide ribosomal RNA is filed under the name uncultured bacterium. RNAcentral's name for it is "partial 16S ribosomal RNA". It matches the Rfam family "Bacterial small subunit ribosomal RNA", at positions 338 to 795 of the family's 1533-position model. The record is from RNAcentral.
CCUACGGGAGGCAGCAGUGGGGAAUAUUGCACAAUGGGGGAAACCCUGAUGCAGCGACGCCGCGUGAGCGAUGAAGUAUUUCGGUAUGUAAAGCUCUAUCAGCAGGGAAGAAAGUGACGUUACCUGACUAAGAAGCCCCGGCUAACUACGUGCCAGCAGCCGCGGUAAUACGUAGGGGGCAAGCGUUAGCCGGAUUUACGGGUUGUAAAGGGAGCGUAGACGGCGGUGCAAGCCAGAUGUGAAAGCCUGGGGCUCAACCCCGGGACUGCAUUUGGAACUGUGCUGCUAGAGUGUCGGAGAGGCAGGCGGAAUUCCUAGUGUAGCGGUGAAAUGCGUAGAUAUUAGGAGGAACACCAGUGGCGAAGGCGGCCUGCUGGAAGAUGACUGACGUUGAGGCGCGAAAGCGUGGGGAGCAAACAGGAUUAGAUACCCCUGUAGUC